Molecule: unclassified non-coding RNA, 60 nt
Filed under: synthetic construct
Source: RNAcentral
GAGGAGAUAUUGAGUACGUAACAGCUACCAACCUGAGAAUGUGGGAUAUCACGUAAAUUC